Molecule: long non-coding RNA, 737 nt
Organism: Monopterus albus (swamp eel)
Lineage: Eukaryota; Metazoa; Chordata; Actinopteri; Synbranchiformes; Synbranchidae
Exons: 3
Source: RefSeq, a predicted model, not a curated record
GUGCGCGUGUGUGAGAGACCCUUCUGUGGUGUGAGUUUGACUCAAAGUUAAUGUUUGAAUAAUUUUGCUGUCGGUCCUGAUGGAUGUUAUGAAGUGGUUUGGCUGACGAGACAAACUGGCGGAAAGCGGUUCACAAGAAAACAUCCUGCGUGGUUCUGUCAAUGAAGGUGGCGCCAAUUCCAGAUGAACCACCAAGACAAGGACACACUUACACAGGAGGAAUUAGAAAGUACCAAAGACUGUCGUUCGUGGUUUCCUGGCAGAGACUGGCUGGAAUAGAUUUUCGUGUGGAAGCAGUUCAUUCACACUCAAGUGGAGCAGGCAACUAAAACUAAUGUUAACACAUGACAAGGCCAUGUCAAGUGUGCUGGUGGCAGUGAAUCUCGCUUUAACAUUUGGUGAUUCUACUGCCACUUGUGAAAACUCGUUUUCAACUUGACACACAGACAUGCCCACGCUUCGUACACAAAAAGCCCAGAACAUGCAGCCAACGCCAAGUGUCAGGGUGCAAGGAAACGACCGUGAGGAGACUCAGCGCCACGACUCGAGUUCAGCUCUUCUGAAGGUUAUAUUCAAGAGCAAGUUCAGGCCCAUAAAAAUGUCCAGAUUGGAGAGGAGAGAACACAGAUGAAACAUGAAGAGGGGCAAAUGAAUCCUGGAUGAAGGGUCCCCUAUUUGUCAAGCAACAGUGUAAGGUGGUGUGUGGUCUAAAUCCAUUGUUUGCUGACACAGUUACA